Molecule: ribosomal RNA, 531 nt
Filed under: uncultured bacterium
Lineage: Bacteria
Description: bacterial SSU rRNA
Rfam family: Bacterial small subunit ribosomal RNA
Source: RNAcentral
CGGACUUGAACAGCGAGUGACCCGCGACGAAUCGCUUCCGCAAGGACACUCGUAGAGGUGCUGCAUGGCUGUCGUCAGCUCGUGUCGUGAGAUGUUGGGUUAAGUCCCGCAACGAGCGCAACCCUUGUUUGCUGUUGCCAUCAGGUAAAGCUGGGCACUCUGCAAAGACUGCCGGUGAUAAACCGGAGGAAGGUGGGGAUGACGUCAAGUCAGCAUGGCCUUUAUGUCUGGGGCUACACACGUGCUACAAUGGCCGGUACAAACCGUCGCAAAACCGUAAGGUGGAGCUAAUCGGAGAAAGCCGGUCUCAGUUCGGAUUGUAGGCUGCAACUCGCCUGCAUGAAGUUGGAAUCGCUAGUAAUCGCGGAUCAGCACGCCGCGGUGAAUACGUUCCCGGGCCUUGUACACACCGCCCGUCACAUCACGAAAGCCGGUUGUACUAGAAGUCGCCACACCAACCCGCAAGGGAGGGAGGCGCCUAAGGUAUGGUCGGUGAUUGGGGUGAAGUCGUAACAAGGUAGGCGUAGAUGA